CGCCGGAUAUACCAUGACCAGGUCCACGCUUCCGAUCAGGUGGGGCAUCAUAACAUUUUCCAUGCACCCCACAAAGCUCAGUACAAGAAGCAUCAUCAGCACAACCAGCAAUUCUUCCUUUACAAUUAGCAGGUGGAUCUACAAUGCAUGUGAAAUUCAUAUCAUCACCAAGAUGGAGAAAAUAAGAGAAAAAUAUAUAUAUCCCGUAAAAAUUUCAUUAUGAUAUUUAAUUAUUAUUGACACUUUUAAGUAUAAGCAAUACAAAUAAAUAGUGGAUAAUAGAUUGAUUGUAUAUAAAAUAUAGAUAUUUAUACUAAAAAAAUAAAGAAAAUUGCACAGAAGUAAAAACAUUUGGAAGAUAAAAACUUUGUUUGGUAUUUGUUCACAUACAAGUUUGACUAAGGGAGAAUGGCAAAACUAAAAUUAUGAUUGCAACAAUAAAUUUGAGCAGAGACAUUGAAACAAU
Molecule: long non-coding RNA, 466 nt
Filed under: Lupinus angustifolius (narrow-leaved blue lupine)
Lineage: Eukaryota; Viridiplantae; Streptophyta; Magnoliopsida; Fabales; Fabaceae
Description: long non-coding RNA (LANG_LNC002257)
Source: RNAcentral